AUAAGGUUAAGUUAAUAAGGGCGCACGGUGGAUGCCUUGGCACUAGAAGCCGAUGAAGGACGUGACUAACGACGAAAUGCCGUUGGGGAGCUGUAAGUAAGCAAUGAUCCAGGGAUGUCCGAAUGGGGGAACCCGGCAGGAAUGCCUGCACU
Molecule: ribosomal RNA, 152 nt
Filed under: Streptococcus suis
Lineage: Bacteria; Bacillati; Bacillota; Bacilli; Lactobacillales; Streptococcaceae
Description: partial 23S ribosomal RNA
Rfam family: Bacterial large subunit ribosomal RNA
Source: RNAcentral